UGGGGAAUUUUGGACAAUGGGCGAAAGCCUGAUCCAGCCAUGCCGCGUGCAGGAUGAAGGCCUUCGGGUUGUAAACUGCUUUUGUACGGAACGAAAAGACUCUGGUUAAUACCUGGGGUCCAUGACGGUACCGUAAGAAUAAGCACCGGCUAACUACGUGCCAGCAGCCGCGGUAAUACGUAGGGUGCAAGCGUUAAUCGGAAUUACUGGGCGUAAAGCGUGCGCAGGCGGUUAUAUAAGACAGAUGUGAAAUCCCCGGGCUCAACCUGGGAACUGCAUUUGUGACUGUAUAGCUAGAGUACGGCAGAGGGGGGAUGGAAUUCCGCGUGUAGCAGUGAAAUGCGUAGAUAUGCGGAGGAACACCGAUGGCGAAGGCAAUCCCCUGGGCCUGUACUGACGCUCAUGCACGAAAGCGUGGGGAGCAAACAGGAUUAGAUACCCUGGUAGUCCACGCCCUAAACGAUGUCAACUGGUUGUUGGGGUCUUCACUGACUCAGUAACGAAGCUAACGCGUGAAGUUGACCGCCUGGGGAGUACGGCCGCAAGGUUGAAACUUAAAUGAAUUGACGGGGUCAUAGCUGUUUCC
Molecule: ribosomal RNA, 586 nt
Filed under: uncultured bacterium
Lineage: Bacteria
Description: partial 16S ribosomal RNA
Rfam family: Bacterial small subunit ribosomal RNA
Source: RNAcentral